GGGGAGGGGAUGCUCGGAUACUGGGCGUAAGCGCACGUAGGCGGCUUCUUAAGUCGGAGGUGAAAUCCUGGAGCUCAACUCCAGAACUGCCUUCGAUACUGGGAGGCUUGAGUCCGGGAGAGGUGAGUGGAACUGCGAGUGUAGAGGUGAAAUUCGUAGAUAUUCGCAAGAACACCAGUGGCGAAGGCGGCUCACUGGCCCGGUACUGACGCUGAGGUGCGAAAGCGUGGGGAGCAAACGGGAUUAGAUACCCCGGUAGUCCCAGCCGUAAACGAUGAGUGCUAGGUGUGAGGGGUAUCGACCCCCCUCGUGCCGCAACAAACGCAUUAAGUACCCCGCCUGGGGAGUAUAGUCGCAAGGCUGAAACUCAAAGGAAUUGACGGGGGCUCACACAAGCGGUGGAGCAUGUUGUUUAAUUCGAAGCAACGCGCAGAACCUUACCUGGGCUUGACAUGCUAGUGGUAGGAACCUGAAAGGGUAACGACUCUCGAAAGAGAGAGCUAGCACAGGUGUUGCAUGGCUGUCGUCAGCUCGUGUCGUGAGAUGUUGGGUUAAGUCCCGCAACGAGCGCAACCCUUAUUGUUAGUUGCUACCAUUUAGUUGAGCACUCUAGCGAGACUGCCCGGGUUAACCGGGAGGAAGGUGGGGAUGACGUCAAGUCCUCAUGGCCCUUACGCCCAGGGCUACAAACGUGCCACAAUGGCCGGUACAGAGGGAAGCGAAAUCGUGAGAUCAAGCAAACCCCAAAAAGCCGGUCUCAGUUCGGAUUGAGGGCUGCAACUCGCCCUCAUGAAGCUGGAAUCGCUAGUAAUCGGGGAUCAGCUACGCCCCGGUGAAUAUGUUCCUGAGCCUUGUACACACCGCCCGUCAAGCCACGAGAGCCGAGAGUGCCCGAAGUCGCCGGUACCAACCAGCAAUGGAGGGAAGUGUCGACGGCAAGCUCGGUGAUUGGGACUAAGUCGUAACAAGGUAAC
Molecule: ribosomal RNA, 974 nt
Filed under: uncultured bacterium
Lineage: Bacteria
Description: bacterial SSU rRNA
Rfam family: Bacterial small subunit ribosomal RNA
Source: RNAcentral